AGUUCGGACUGUAGUCUGCAACCCGACUACACGAAGCUGGAAUCGCUAGUAAUCGCGGAUCAGCAUGCCGCGGUGAAUACGUUCCCGGGUCUUGUACACACCGCCCGUCACACCAUGGGAGCCGGAAAUGCCCGAAGCCUGUGACCCAACCCAGUAGGGAGGGAGCAGUCGAAGGUGGAGCCGGUAACUGGGGUGAAGUCGUAACAAGGUAUC
This 213-nucleotide ribosomal RNA is filed under the name uncultured bacterium. RNAcentral's name for it is "partial 16S ribosomal RNA". It matches the Rfam family "Bacterial small subunit ribosomal RNA", at positions 1290 to 1500 of the family's 1533-position model. The record is from RNAcentral.